This 253-nucleotide ribosomal RNA is filed under the name uncultured bacterium. Its description in RNAcentral is "partial 16S ribosomal RNA". It matches the Rfam family "Bacterial small subunit ribosomal RNA", at positions 524 to 776 of the family's 1533-position model. The record is from RNAcentral.
UACGAAGGGGGCUAGCGUUGCUCGGAAUCACUGGGCGUAAAGGGUGCGUAGGCGGGUCUUUAAGUCAGGGGUGAAAUCCUGGAGCUCAACUCCAGAACUGCCUUUGAUACUGAGGAUCUUGAGUACGGGAGAGGUGAGUGGAACUGCGAGUGUAGAGGCGAAAUUCGUAGAUAUUCGCAAGAACACCAGUGGCGAAGGCGGCUCACUGGCCCGUAACUGACGCUGAGGCACGAAAGCGUGGGGAGCAAACAGG